AUUGAACGCUGGCGGCAUGCCUUACACAUGCAAGUCGAACGGCAGCACGGGUGCUUGCACCUGGCGGCGAGUGGCGAACGGGUGAGUAAUACAUCGGAACAUGUCCUGUAGUGGGGGAUAGCCCGGCGAAAGCCGGAUUAAUACCGCAUACGAUCUACGGAUGAAAGCGGGGGACCUUCGGGCCUCGCGCUAUAGGGUUGGCCGAUGGCUGAUUAGCUAGUUGGUGGGGUAAAGGCCUACCAAGGCGACGAUCAGUAGCUGGUCUGAGAGGACGACCAGCCGCACUGGGACUGAGACACGGCCCAGACUCCUACGGGAGGCAGCAGUGGGGAAUUUUGGACAAUGGGCGAAAGCCUGAUCCAGCAAUGCCGCGUGUGUGAAGAAGGCCUUCGGGUUGUAAAGCACUUUUGUCCGGAAAGAAAUCCUUGGCCCUAAUACGGUCGGGGGAUGACGGUACCGGAAGAAUAAGCACCGGCUAACUACGUG
This 486-nucleotide ribosomal RNA is filed under the name uncultured bacterium. RNAcentral's name for it is "partial 16S ribosomal RNA". It matches the Rfam family "Bacterial small subunit ribosomal RNA", at positions 30 to 507 of the family's 1533-position model. The record is from RNAcentral.